GCAGGCCCCUGGAAAUUUUAUCCUUUGGCCAGUUAGAUUAGCAAAAGUAAUUGCAAAGGAGAUUAGAGUACAAGAAAAGGAAGAUGUGAAUGAAUCAUUACCACAACAGACAAUUCUAGAACGACUUGGUGCAAUGGCAGCGACUAUCACCUUGCAACCUAUACAAUUAGAAAUGCCUCCCUAAGCCACAAAUAGGACCUUCAACACCCUUUUUUUUAUAUGUCAAAAGGAUAUUUUUGAAGUUCUCUCUGGCACUGAUAUGUUAUGUAUAUCAGUAAUACAACUUUGGUUGUUGUAUUUACAUCGUAGAUGCACUGAGAAGAAGAAUGAUCACAUAUAUGGAUUUAUUGAUCCUAUUGCCAUUCAAGGC
Long non-coding RNA from Vigna unguiculata (cowpea), 370 nucleotides. The record is from RefSeq and is a predicted model, not a curated record. Lineage: Eukaryota; Viridiplantae; Streptophyta; Magnoliopsida; Fabales; Fabaceae.